GACGAACGCUGGCGGCGUGCUUAACACAUGCAAGUCGAACGGAAAGUCCCUUCUUUUGUGGGGUGCUCGAGUGUCGAACGUGUGAGUAACACGUGAGUAACCUGCCCUUGACUUUGGGCUACCUUCAGUAAACUGUGGCUAAUACCGGAUAGGAGCUCCUGCUGCCUGGUGGGGGUUGGAAAGUUUCUGCGGUUGGGGUUGGACUCUCGGCUUAUGAGCUUGUUGGUGGGGUCGUGACUUACCAAGGCUUUGACGGGUAGCCGGCCGGAGCGGGGGACCGGCAACAUUGGGAGUGAGGAAAGGCCGAGAAUCCUACGGGAGGAAGCAGUGGGGAGUAUUGCACAGUGGGCGGAAGACGGAUGAAGCAACGCCGCGGGGGGGAGGAAGGAGUCCGGGGUGUAAACAGCUUUCGCCUGUGAAGAAGAAUGAGUGACGGUAAUGGGUAAAGAAGCACCGGCUAACUACGUG
This 468-nucleotide ribosomal RNA is filed under the name uncultured bacterium. RNAcentral's name for it is "partial 16S ribosomal RNA". It matches the Rfam family "Bacterial small subunit ribosomal RNA", at positions 28 to 507 of the family's 1533-position model. The record is from RNAcentral.